Molecule: ribosomal RNA, 222 nt
Filed under: uncultured soil bacterium
Lineage: Bacteria
Description: partial 16S ribosomal RNA
Rfam family: Bacterial small subunit ribosomal RNA
Source: RNAcentral
AGAUUGAACGCUGGCGGCAUGCCUAACACAUGCAAGUCGAACGGGAGUAGCAAUACUCUAGUGGCGGACGGGUGAGGAAUACGUAGGAAUUUGCCCUUAAGUGGGGGAUAACCCGGGGAAACCCGGAUUAAUACCGCAUGACCUCGAAAGAGCAAAGUGGGGGAUCGCAAGACCUCACGCUUUUGGAGAAGCCUACGUCGGAUUAGCUAGUUGGUGAGGUAA